Molecule: unclassified non-coding RNA, 245 nt
Filed under: Hevea brasiliensis (rubber tree)
Lineage: Eukaryota; Viridiplantae; Streptophyta; Magnoliopsida; Malpighiales; Euphorbiaceae
Source: RNAcentral
CUCAAGAUAGACUAGUUAGUGCUGACUCAUGUGACAGAGAAGCUGCCUUUGUAAAUAAUUGUGAUGGACCUGAUAGAUAUUGUCUUUCGGGUGAAGGCUUGGGGUGUUCCAUCGCAAAUGGGAUUCAGGAAAAUGUUUCAUCUUCUUGUAACAUAAUGCAAUCAUUGGUUUGCCACUGGCCCAGUUUGGAAAGAAUUGCAACUUUUGGUACCAGCAACUUGGAUUCUAAAGCUGCUUUUGCAAUU